UAGAUGGCCAGUCCAAGCAAUGUCUAUUGGAUGUUUGUUAUUGUUGGGGAGGUUUCCUUAUGAAUCAUCUGUCUGGUUUGUGCGUUUUAAUUAAAAUAGAGUGUCACAAUAAAGCCUGAGAGCCAAUUUUGUAAGCAUGCCUGUUCAGGGAGUGGGGAUGGAUGGGAUCACUUGGUACAGACAUAUCCUGGGGGGCCUUUGGACAUCCUCUGUCACUCUGGCAUGUCCUAUAACCUAUGUACAGGUCAGGGAGCUGCACUGUGUGCCCCAAGGCAAACAUGCUGCCUGGGGUGGUAUACAGCCCCUGUCCUCAGCUCUUCCUCUCCUCCUGCCCCAGAAUAUAUUUUUGGGGGAGCAUCAGGACUGAAAGUUAUGGAGGAGUUCAGUGGGUUCGGAGAGGUCUAUGUAUAUCUUCUAUCCUUUGGUGUUAGCACAGAGCAUUACUGGCAGUCCAUCACUGAAGUUUAAAUAGGAUGCCUUGGGUGCAGAGUUUCAAUUGCAGACCUGAGAGUGAUGGCUGCACAUUUCCACAAGGAGUGAGGGGAAGGUCAGUGCCCUACAAGGCAGGAAGAAAGUUCUUCGAGGGGAACAGCAGCAAAGAACAUCAAACUGCAAUUACAUCCUAAAUGCCCCUCUGUUUUGCUACUGUGAUUUAAAAAUAAAAUAAAAUCUAAUUUCA
This 679-nucleotide long non-coding RNA is filed under the name Anas platyrhynchos platyrhynchos (common mallard). RNAcentral describes it as "lncRNA (ENSAPLG00000023769.1)". The record is from RNAcentral. Lineage: Eukaryota; Metazoa; Chordata; Aves; Anseriformes; Anatidae.